GACGGACGCUGGCGGCGUGCUUAACACAUGCAAGUCGAACGGAAAGGCCCUGCUUGCAGGGUACUCGAGUGGCGAACGGGUGAGUAACACGUGGGUGAUCUGCCCUGCACUUCGGGAUAAGCCUGGGAAACUGGGUCUAAUACCGGAUAGGAGCCAUUUUUAGUGUGAUGGUUGGAAAGUUUUUUCGGUGUAGGAUGAGCUCGCGGCCUAUCAGCUUGUUGGUGGGGUAAUGGCCUACCAAGGCGGCGACGGGUAGCCGGCCUGAGAGGGUGGACGGCCACAUUGGGACUGAGAUACGGCCCAGACUCCUACGGGAGGCAGCAGUGGGGAAUAUUGCACAAUGGGCGCAAGCCUGAUGCAGCGACGCCGCGUGGGGGAUGACGGCCUUCGGGUUGUAAACUCCUUUCGCUAGGGACGAAGCUUUUUGUGACGGUACCUAGAUAAGAAGCACCGGCUAACUACGUG
This 465-nucleotide ribosomal RNA is filed under the name uncultured bacterium. Its description in RNAcentral is "partial 16S ribosomal RNA". It matches the Rfam family "Bacterial small subunit ribosomal RNA", at positions 28 to 507 of the family's 1533-position model. The record is from RNAcentral.